GACGAACGCUGGCGGCGUGCUUAACACAUGCAAGUCGAGCGGUAAGGCCCUUUCGGGGGUACACGAGCGGCGAACGGGUGAGUAACACGUGGGUGACCUGCCCUCAGCUCUGGGAUAAGCCUGGGAAACCGGGUCUAAUACUGGAUAUGACUCCAUGACGCAUGUUGUGGGGUGGAAAGCCUUGUGCGGCUGAGGAUGGGCCCGCGGCCUAUCAGCUUGUUGGUGGGGUGAUGGCCUACCAAGGCGACGACGGGUAGCCGGCCUGAGAGGGCGACCGGCCACACUGGGACUGAGACACGGCCCAGACUCCUACGGGAGGCAGCAGUGGGGAAUCUUGGUCAAUGGACGAAAGUCUGAACCAGCCAUGCCGCGUGGAGGAUGAAGGUCCUCUGGAUUGUAAACUUCUUUUAUAUGGGAACGAAAAAGG
This 427-nucleotide ribosomal RNA is filed under the name uncultured bacterium. Its description in RNAcentral is "bacterial SSU rRNA". It matches the Rfam family "Bacterial small subunit ribosomal RNA", at positions 28 to 455 of the family's 1533-position model. The record is from RNAcentral.